CCUACGGGCGGCAGCAGUGGGGAAUAUUGGACAAUGGGCGAAAGCCUGAUCCAGCCAUGCCGCGUGUGUGAAGAAGGCCUUCGGGUUGUAAAGCACUUUCAGUGGGGAAGAAAGCCUUGGGGCUAAUACCCUCGAGGAAGGACAUCACCCACAGAAGAAGCACCGGCUAACUCCGUGCCAGCAGCCGCGGUAAUACGGAGGGUGCGAGCGUUAAUCGGAAUUACUGGGCGUAAAGCGCGGGUAGGCGGUCUGAUAAGCCGGUUGUGAAGGCCCCGGGCUCAACCUGGGAACGGCAUCCGGAACUGUCAGGCUAGAGUGCAGGAGAGGAAGGUAGAAUUCCCGGUGUAGCGGUGAAAUGCGUAGAGAUCGGGAGGAAUACCAGUGGCGAAGGCGGCCUUCUGGACUGACACUGACGCUGAGGUGCGAAAGCGUGGGUAGCAAACAGGAUUAGAUACCCUUGUAGUC
This 465-nucleotide ribosomal RNA is filed under the name Vreelandella stevensii. RNAcentral's name for it is "partial 16S ribosomal RNA". It matches the Rfam family "Bacterial small subunit ribosomal RNA", at positions 338 to 795 of the family's 1533-position model. Lineage: Bacteria; Pseudomonadati; Pseudomonadota; Gammaproteobacteria; Oceanospirillales; Halomonadaceae. The record is from RNAcentral.